UUACAAGUCCUGUAAAAAGGACGCUGCGAGGAGCAGCAAGCAGAGCCUGCCCAGGGGAUGGGAAACAUGGAUGAAGGCAGAGGCAGAGGUGGUGGGGCUGGAAUACACCUUGAAGCUGCAGUGACAUCGUUUCCACGUGUCUGUGUUCCCACACUGGUUGAUCAGCGGACACCGUCUUUUUCUUUGGUGUGCAUCUUCCUGGGACAGAUUUUUCAAGUCUGGAGAAGAGAAUCUGCACAUGGAUAUGUCUUUUCAGAUGGGUUUGAUUUUGAUUGACUGUGACCUCCUCCAUACUGGUAAAAGUGCCCCUUUGAGAGUUAGUGCAAGUGAUCAGGACAACUGAAACCUGGUUUUACAGGAAUGAGAAUAUACAGU
Tyto alba (common barn owl) is the source of this 375-nucleotide long non-coding RNA. RefSeq lists it as uncharacterized. The transcript is spliced from 3 exons. The record is from RefSeq and is a predicted model, not a curated record. Lineage: Eukaryota; Metazoa; Chordata; Aves; Strigiformes; Tytonidae.